Molecule: long non-coding RNA, 933 nt
Filed under: Panax ginseng (ginseng)
Lineage: Eukaryota; Viridiplantae; Streptophyta; Magnoliopsida; Apiales; Araliaceae
Description: long non-coding RNA (PGIN_LNC011803)
Source: RNAcentral
UUAUUUUGAGUUUGGAUAUUGUCUACGAGACAAUAUUGAUAUUAAAACUCACAAACUAUGUUUGUCGACAGUUCAAUAGUUGUAUAAAUGAAGUUUGUAUUUAAAUUAUGUACCAUGUAUUUGACGACUCAGAAUGAGUUGUGUAGGCCUAUUUUGGGGGCGUCAUAAUGUUUAUAUACAAGAAAGUUACUAGUGGAUUUGGGUCCCAAGGGUCACUCCACUCUUGUGGAAGGGAAAAAACCUAGCUCGGCUUGUCUCGAACUCGUUGGUCUAUGUCCAUUUUUCAUACUAUUUUGGACACAAAUUGAUAUAAGUUUAAUUGACCCAUUUUCCUAUUAUCCACGACGACGUCCCAUGGAUGGAUCACGCCGACUAGGGCCUUACACCUGAAACAUCAUUAGCAGAUACGUUUCUAAAAUUCGUCGAUUGCUCCACGAAAAGAUUUGUUGAACAAAAAUUGCAAAUAAAAAAGUUCAAGAUUGUGAUUGACGUACUUGAAUCUGAAUUAUCCAUGAAAAGAUUUGUUGAACAAAAAUUGCAAGUGAAAAAGUUGAAGAUUGUGAUUGACGUACUUGAAUCUGAAUCAUCGUAAGGAUCUUUAAUUGGCCAAACUAUAAUUUGCUCCAAAGAAUCUUUGGUGCUACAACAACAAUUUAAUUCUUCAAAUAGUACUUACAUAGAAGAUGCACCACCCAAGUUGAAGAACCAAAUCACCAAUUUAAGAAAAUUAUCUAUUUCGAGAGCCCAUACUUAGAUGAGCAGUUGAUGCUUUGUAUAUAUUAUUGCUAGCUGCCCCUAUAUUCAAUAGUUCGUACGUGCUCGAUUUGUCAUCAAGGCAUCAAAUUUUUUGAAAUUUUGGGAGUCAAUUAUUUGGAAAAACUUGAAUUUGAUGGGCUUAAUAUUGAGAAUGUUGAUGCACCGAAGUUCAUCUAC